GUGGGGAGAGACCAUGAGCCUUCCAGACAGUCUGGGACUCAGGACAGUUUUACCAGGUGCAGAUGCUGGACUUACGGACCUGCUGGAGGAAUGAAUGUCUGCUUGGUCAUGGCUCUGCUCAGGCUGCUGCCUGCCUUCUGGACUAGAGCUGCCUGCCCAUCCCAGGCCCACUGAGCACUGUGGGAGAGCCUCAGAGAAGCUCUGAUACCCCACGGCUUCAGCCGCACCCAGGCCAGCGGACCCCCUUCUUCACCCUGCACGUAAGUGUCCCUUGCACCCUUGUCCUGGGAAACUAGGGAAGCAGGAGUCUUGAGCUCCACUCGCGGUCUUGCCCUCAGCCUCUCAGGAGGCAGCCAGUUGGCAGAAUGGAUUCGGGAAGGUUCUUCUCCCAAGCUGCUGUAGUAGAGCAAAACCAUCACAGCGUCUCCGGUCCCAGGCUUUGGAGCCCCAGUCCCCCCCUGCCCCCUUUUUGCCUCUGGGCGGUGCCGAGGGGAGAGGGCGGAAUGUGAGUGUGAGCACCUGUGGUCUGGGGGCAGGAUGCUUUUCUGAGAGGGAGUGGGACUCAGGGCAGGCUCCUUCCUCCCCCCCCCCAGACUUGCCUGGGCCUGAGGCAGCUGGGGUAAGCCCACUCACCCUGUGGGUCCUGGAGCCCUCCUGCCUGAGGAAUAAACUAACCUCUCUAGGUCAGCCUCACAGUAGGCAUGGGCAACUCUGUAAGAACAGUCUGGCAGGUGGAACUACCCUCAGUUCAAGGGGGGGUGAUGGGGGGAGUGUGUCCGCCAUGAGUUUUUUCCCAGUGGCUGUCUGGGGGAACAAGGCCAGGAAUUUAUCAGUGCCCCUCCCCCAAAUAAACCUCCUAUUGCUGGUUUUUUGUUGUUUUUUUCACCUUCCAAGGUCAGGCACUUAGCACCUCAUUCCUUUCUCUCCCUCCUUCCA
Molecule: long non-coding RNA, 936 nt
Organism: Ailuropoda melanoleuca (giant panda)
Lineage: Eukaryota; Metazoa; Chordata; Mammalia; Carnivora; Ursidae
Exons: 3
Source: RefSeq, a predicted model, not a curated record